AAACACAUAUAUUAAGAAAAUUAAUUUUAGUAUUAAAUUGGUAGAUAAAUCAUACUAAUAUUUAAGAAAAUAACAAAAAAAAAAGUAUGAGAAGUCCUAGUUACUUUUCGUUUGAUCAGAACCAGCCCUUACGCGCUCUUCUUCGUUUCCAUUUCAUAAUAAAUGCAGAAAACCAAACUACCCCCUUCCUUUCUGCUAUAUUCUUUAAUUCUUUCAUUGGAAAUAGAUUUAUUCUCUUGUCCCCAAAUAAAAAUCUGUCUUGUCAACUUUUUUGUUUAAUCUCUCACCCGCCCCUAACAAAUAUGAAGAGGAAGACUGUGGUGUCA
RNAcentral lists this long non-coding RNA (326 nucleotides) under Trifolium pratense (red clover). RNAcentral's name for it is "long non-coding RNA (TPRA_LNC012962)". The record is from RNAcentral. Lineage: Eukaryota; Viridiplantae; Streptophyta; Magnoliopsida; Fabales; Fabaceae.